Molecule: long non-coding RNA, 1108 nt
Organism: Apis cerana (Asiatic honeybee)
Lineage: Eukaryota; Metazoa; Arthropoda; Insecta; Hymenoptera; Apidae
Source: RefSeq, a predicted model, not a curated record
UAACCCGUCUUGGCUGAUAACCUUAAUUAUCGCGAUCUUAAUGACCCAUGGUGCCUCCACUUGUGCCUCUCCCCUCCCGUACACAUACACGUACGCGCGGUUCGCGUGAGCUCGCCUCGACCGCUGGAAAACUCAAUUUGGCCCGACUCCAACGGCUCCUCUGGGAGGCGAAACGAGUCCUCCGUCGGGCUCAGCAUCCCCGGAACGGGAAUAGCCGGGUUAUUUUUGACCCGGUGCGCGCGAAACCCGGCCUCUUCUCGCGAGAAGCCUCUCCCCACCGAGCGGGGAGGGUGACAUUUCUCUUUACGCGGCGGAUCGUUCCGCGGAGGAAUGUUAUGUUAAGAGGAAAACGGCAAAAAACCGGCGGCAACCGGCGAAAACACGCUUCUGUCAGCCGGUAAACAAGCGUGCUCGAUAAACCGGUAGGCUGUCCAACGAAGGAGAUUUAUCGGGGCGAUCGAUAAGAGAUUGGACGAGCGAGUUUAGUGCUUUCUCUGUGUGUGCACAUUUCGUUAGACGAAAGAGGAGACACGUAUAUGGAGAUACGUAUAUAUAGAGACAAAAAGCAGUGUACGUGUGGCAUAAUAGAUCCUUUGGAAGUUUGAUUAUAUCUGCUAAUAUGAAUUUCAUCGUUCGCGGGACGGAAGGAGGGAAAGAAGAUUAAAGAUGAAUUCAAAGGAGGAAGAAUGGCAGUCAACGAUCAACAGAUUUAUUAAAAUCUAUCCAGAUCUGGCAGGAUUUACUGGAGAUUUGUCGAGAGUUGCUGUUUAUCAAUUGUCUCUGUUAUUUGUCUCGCUUCAAACGGUUAGAGGCAAAAAUGAUAAGACGUUCAAAAUGUCUUCGUUUCGUUGAUUAUUUCGUUCCUUGUUUCUCCCCUUGUAAAUACAACACUAGUAGCCCGAGUUUGCCGAGAAAACUCAAAUUCUUGAAGCUUCUUGCUCAACGCGGUAUGAAUAAGAAAAGACGAAGGAAAAUCCAUUCUAUUGGGAGGAAAGUUCAAAUCGAAGUAACUUUUGAACUAAUAACCAUGACCUUCCAUCUUGCGCUUAUCUUAAACUAUGUAUAACAUCGUAACUUUUAAUAAAUGCAAUUGGACUACACAUCGAGA